AUGGACAUGAGGGCCCCCGCUCAGCUCCUCAGCCUCCUGCUGCUCUGGCUCCCAGGAGCCUGGUGUGCCAUCCAGAUAAGCCAGUCUCCACCCUCCGUGUCUGCAUCUCCAGGAGACAGAGUCACCAUCUCCUGCCGGGCCAGUCAGGGUGUUAGAAAUUAUCUAAACUGGUAUCAGCAGAAACCAGGGAAAGCUCCUAAGCUCCUCAUCUAUGGUGCAUCCAAUUUGCAAACUGGGGUCCCAUCCCGCUUCAGUGGCAGUGGAUCUGGGACAGAUUUCACUCUCACCAUCAGCAGCCUGGAGCCUGAAGAUGCUGCCACAUACUACUGUAUGCAGUAUAACAGUAACCCUCACACAGUGAUACAAGCCUGA
Talpa occidentalis (Iberian mole) is the source of this 372-nucleotide non-coding RNA. Lineage: Eukaryota; Metazoa; Chordata; Mammalia; Eulipotyphla; Talpidae. The record is from the annotation of a RefSeq genome assembly.